RNAcentral lists this ribosomal RNA (492 nucleotides) under uncultured bacterium. RNAcentral describes it as "partial 16S ribosomal RNA". It matches the Rfam family "Bacterial small subunit ribosomal RNA", at positions 31 to 507 of the family's 1533-position model. The record is from RNAcentral.
AGGGAACGCGGGCGGUAGGCCUAACACAUGCAAGUCGAACGGCAGCACAGUAAGAGCUUGCUCUUACGGGUGGCGAGUGGCGGACGGGUGAGGAAUACAUCGGAAUCUACUUUUUCGUGGGGGAUAACGUAGGGAAACUUACGCUAAUACCGCAUACGACCUACGGGGGAAAGCAGGGGAGCGGCGGACCGUGCGCGAGUGAAGGAGCCGAGGUCGGAUUAGCUAGUUGGCGGGGUAAAGGCCCACCAAGGCGACGAUCCGUAGCUGGUCUGAGAGGAUGAUCAGCCACACUGGAACUGAGACACGGUCCAGACUCCUACGGGAGGCAGCAGUGGGGAAUCUUGGGCCGUGGGCGCGCGCCUGCUCCCGCCCUCCCGCGUGGGUGAAGAAGGCCUUCGGGUUGUAAAGCCCUUUUGUUGGGAAAGAAAAGCAGCAGGUUACUACCCCGCUGUUCUGCCGGUCCCCCCCGCAUCAGCCCCGGCUCCCUUCGUG